UACGUAGGGUGCGAGCGUUAAUCGGAAUUACUGGGCGUAAAGCGCGCGUAGGCGGCGAACCAAGUCAGGGGUGAAAUCCCGGGGCUCAACCCCGGAACUGCCUUUGAAACUAGUUUGCUAGAAUCUUGGAGAGGUCAGUGGAAUUCCGAGUGUAGAGGUGAAAUUCGUAGAUAUUCGGAAGAACACCAGUGGCGAAGGCGACUGACUGGACAAGUAUUGACGCUGAGGUGCGAAAGCGUGGGGAGCAAACAGG
Molecule: ribosomal RNA, 253 nt
Filed under: uncultured bacterium
Lineage: Bacteria
Description: partial 16S ribosomal RNA
Rfam family: Bacterial small subunit ribosomal RNA
Source: RNAcentral